This is a long non-coding RNA of Xiphophorus couchianus (Monterrey platyfish), 215 nucleotides long. RefSeq lists it as uncharacterized. NCBI's taxonomy places the organism in Eukaryota, Metazoa, Chordata, Actinopteri, Cyprinodontiformes, Poeciliidae. The transcript is spliced from 3 exons. The record is from RefSeq and is a predicted model, not a curated record.
GUGCUUGUCUGCUGUCUCCUUCCGCUCAUCUGUGCUGCCUGGAUUAUUGUGUUUUUGGAUCAUUAAAUCAUCACUUCUUCAUUCCAACCUGGGUCCUCAGCGUCUUCCUCACCACCUCAUCUAACCGCAUAUCAUGACAGAAUAGUGAUGAUCAGGUGUUAAGGAAGCCCAGGUUGCUUGAAUAGUAGCCUUCAGCUCUUCUGCAUUUUUGGCUA